Molecule: ribosomal RNA, 443 nt
Filed under: uncultured bacterium
Lineage: Bacteria
Description: partial 16S ribosomal RNA
Rfam family: Bacterial small subunit ribosomal RNA
Source: RNAcentral
CCUACGGGGGGCAGCAGUGGGGAAUAUUGGGCAAUGGGCGCAAGCCUGACCCAGCAACGCCGCGUGAAGGAAGAAGGCUUUCGGGUUGUAAACUUCUUUUCUCAGGGACGAAGCAAGUGACGGUACCUGAGGACUAAGCCACGGCUAACUACGUGCCAGCAGCCGCGGUAAUACGUAGGUGGCAAGCGUUAUCCGGAUUUACUGGGUGUAAAGGGCGUGUAGGCGGGAAAGCAAGUCAGAUGUUAAAACCAUGGGCUCAAACUGUGGCCUGCAUUUGAAACUGUUUUUCUUGAGUACUGGAGAGGCAGACGGAAUGCCUAGUGUAGCGGUGAAAUGCGUAGAUAUUAGGAGGAACACCAGUGGCGAAGGCGGUCUGCUGGACAGCAACUGACGCUGAGGCGCGAAAGCGUGGGGAGCAAACAGGAUUAGAUACCCCAGUAGUC